CGUUAGCUCAAUUGGUAGAGCAGCUGACUCUUAAUCAGUUGGUUGAAGGUUCGAGUCCUUCACGGC
RNAcentral lists this transfer RNA (66 nucleotides) under uncultured Spiribacter sp. It matches the Rfam family "tRNA", at positions 5 to 66 of the family's 71-position model. Rfam says of the family: Transfer RNA (tRNA) molecules are approximately 80 nucleotides in length. Their secondary structure includes four short double-helical elements and three loops (D, anti-codon, and T loops). Further hydrogen bonds mediate the characteristic L-shaped molecular structure. tRNAs have two regions of fundamental functional importance: the anti-codon, which is responsible for specific mRNA codon recognition, and the 3' end, to which the tRNAs corresponding amino acid is attached (by aminoacyl-tRNA synthetases). tRNAs cope with the degeneracy of the genetic code in two manners: having more than one tRNA (with a specific anti-codon) for a particular amino acid; and 'wobble' base-pairing, i.e. permitting non-standard base-pairing at the 3rd anti-codon position. Lineage: Bacteria; Pseudomonadati; Pseudomonadota; Gammaproteobacteria; Chromatiales; Ectothiorhodospiraceae. The record is from RNAcentral.